This is a non-coding RNA of Pelobates cultripes (western spadefoot toad), 141 nucleotides long. Lineage: Eukaryota; Metazoa; Chordata; Amphibia; Anura; Pelobatidae. The record is from the annotation of a GenBank genome assembly.
UCCUCCUCCGUGCAGCUCCUCGGUCAGCUCCGUUCUGCUCCCAGUGUAAAUCUUACACUUACACUUGCACUGUAAACAGAACAGAGCUGACAGAGGAGCUGCAUGGAGGAGGAGGGAGCUGAUGUUAAAUUAAUGUUAUAU